GUCUACAGCCAUGCUACCCUGAACGAGCUCAAUCCCAUCUGAUCUUGGAAGCUAAGCAGGGUUGGGCCUGGUUAGUACUUGGAUGGGAGACUACCUACGAAGACCAGGUGCUAUAAAAA
This 119-nucleotide ribosomal RNA is filed under the name Pteropus alecto (black flying fox). Lineage: Eukaryota; Metazoa; Chordata; Mammalia; Chiroptera; Pteropodidae. The record is from RNAcentral.